RNAcentral lists this transfer RNA (73 nucleotides) under Pterocladiella luxurians. Its description in RNAcentral is "tRNA-Glu". It matches the Rfam family "tRNA". Rfam says of the family: Transfer RNA (tRNA) molecules are approximately 80 nucleotides in length. Their secondary structure includes four short double-helical elements and three loops (D, anti-codon, and T loops). The record is from RNAcentral. Lineage: Eukaryota; Rhodophyta; Florideophyceae; Gelidiales; Pterocladiaceae.
GCUCCUAUCGUUUAAUGGUUUAAGACAGUACUUUUUCGUAGUGUAAAUGUGAGUUCGAAUCUCACUAGGAGUA